Molecule: small nuclear RNA, 100 nt
Filed under: Ancylostoma ceylanicum
Lineage: Eukaryota; Metazoa; Nematoda; Chromadorea; Rhabditida; Ancylostomatidae
Description: U2 spliceosomal RNA
Rfam family: U2 spliceosomal RNA
About the family: U2 is a small nuclear RNA (snRNA) component of the spliceosome (involved in pre-mRNA splicing).
Source: Rfam by way of RNAcentral
CUCGCUUCUCGGCCUUUUGGCUAAGAUCAAAGUUUAGUUUCUGUUCUUAUCGAAUUAUCACACUCUUUUGUAGCUGUCAGCAGAAGCAACGUAACCCCUA